Myotis brandtii (Brandt's bat) is the source of this 1363-nucleotide long non-coding RNA. RefSeq lists it as uncharacterized. The transcript has 3 exons. The record is from RefSeq and is a predicted model, not a curated record. Lineage: Eukaryota; Metazoa; Chordata; Mammalia; Chiroptera; Vespertilionidae.
AAUUGUCCUUCAGAGUCAUUUCAGGGCCCUGUGUAUUUUCCCUGAAAAUAAUAAUAUCUAUGCCUUGUCAAGCAUUUCCUAUAUGACUAGCAUGUUACCUUAAAACCUUCUAACUCAGAGGUGCUCAACAGAGUGGAUUAUGUUUUAAGCUGUGGUGGAUCUGAUACUCAGGUAGGGUCAAAAACUUCUGCCCCAAUUCUUACAACACCUUCAGAAGAUAUGUUUCAAUAUCCCCAUUUUACAGGUAAGAAAACUGAGACUCAAGGAGGUGAACUGUCUUGCCUGAAGUCACAGCAAAGAUGAGGCAAAGUCAUGAUUGAAGCCCUGGUCUGAGUCCAAAGCCCCCAUUACUUUAGGCCUCCAAGCUGUCACAUGCAUGGCCAGCCGGCACUCCCUCUAACUCCAGGUGAUAUGCACUGGCCUCUGAGCCUGUAUUCAACAUACAACUUCUUCUUUCCUGCCUUCUUCCUUUCUACUACUCCUUUCUUCCCCUGCCCAAAGCCCCACAACCAGACUUAGCCAGACUUCAUGAUCAGGGGACCACAUGGAUGCACUGGGUUGAUGCCUCAGCUUUGGGUUGAUAGCAUCCAGCUCAGAGUAAUGCCCACCAGGGGCCUCCCAACAGUCCCAGAUCCUCCUAACCAUGUAACAACAUGUCUUCCUUAAACUCACCCAAGAAGACAGUGGUCCUGAGAUUAUUGCACAAGUUACUUUUCUGAGCAAAUUUAAAAAAAAAAUUAAAAGCAAAUACUUGAAAAGUCAAAUUAAAUAUCACAGGGGACAAAAAGCAAAAUCAUGAAAAAAUGUGGUCAAUCAUUAGCAGAGAGGUUGAAAAGACACGCUCCAAUUGCUUUAAAAAUGCACAGAACCCAGGUCUCCUUAAAAUAGUUUUGCAAAGUACAUUGAGAAUUCCAUGCAGUAAUAUGAAACACAAGUCCCGCUGCUGCCACUGAACAUGCUUCAGCUGGCUGAACCGAAGGAGCUUGACAUUAACCCAAGGCUCUGCAAAACACAACAGGAAAGCACAAUAGAGUUGCAGUUGCAAAGCUGCCCCAGAUGUGUACAUUUUCUGCUCCAUUAAAAUAACUUGGAUGAGAGGCAAAGCACAUUUGGUCCACAGAAAGAGGGCGUUAGGGGAGGGCCAGGGAGAGCACAGUCAGCCUCCAUAGUCCUCCCACUCCCCAGUUUUGCCUCCCCUCUAAGCCUUCCUUCACAUGGCUAAGUCUGUCUAAGUGCAAAUAUGGGAUGUGAGGAUGAUCUGGCUUCGACAUCUGUCACCCCGUUGUCGCCAGGGUUGAUUUGCCUGAUCUGGCUGGCUAGGCGAGCUUCCCCUUCCUCCCUCACCCAUCCAUGUGCGUGUCUU